AGGGACUGGCUUGUGUUAAUUUUUUCACAUAAUUUGCAUUUCACCCUUUUACCAGCAAGGUGUGGGAGGUCUGUCCUUGCUUGUGUCACAGAACAGGGUCAUAGUGUCUGUCUUUUCUUAGAAAAACCUGUUAGAAGUGCAUAGAGUGUGUGGCUGUGCUGGUUCUGCUGGGCAGAGAUGACCAGCAGCUGGGGAGGGCUGUGGUCUGUGCUAGGGAAAGGGCCCAGCUCAGCCAUUGCAUCCCCACGGCUUCACUUUCAUGUUGCUGCAGAGUCCAUUUGCAGGAAUCCCAGUGCCAGUCUUCUUCCACACAUAAAGCAGCAGUGCCUGUCAGGGCACUGUGUGGAUCCUGAGGCUGCCAGACCUUUAACAGCUGCCUUGCUGGUCCUUGUUCAGCUGCUUGUUCCUGAUGAGAGCAAGGCUCUGGUGCAGCCCAUGAAUUCAAGAGAUACUGGCCCUCAGAGCAGAGGUGGAAAGGGAUUGGCUGCAAAGGGAAUUGCUUUUCAUGAUUGGCAUUGAACCCCAGAUCUCAAAGCCUGGGUGCGGGAGGUGAAAGGCAGAUAAUUGUGUUAAAAUCCUUCAUUGUACCCCUUUAGUACAGAGGAUGAAACCAGGUGUUUGAUUUGCACUCCCUUCACAGAGCACUUCUGGUUCUCUUGGAGGUACUCCCUUUCCCAAGCAUUGAUGCUCACAAUGCUGUGGCACAUUUUUCUCUUACUGUGAAAUGGCUGAUUUAAAAAAAAAAAAUCCUUUGCCUUUCCUUUCAAUUGUGCUAGAGUAAGUUAACUCUCUGAACAGAUAGGAAGUGAUUAAAUCUAGCCUGUCAGUCCCUGUACAGAUUAAUAUGAAGUUAUCUAUUACUUUAAUUUUUACUGCAUGCAUUAAAUAUGUCAAACAUUCCAUCAGGAAAGAUUCAAAAGCAUUUCAAGAAAGGUGUAAGGCAGGAGGGCAUUGAUGGCAGUUAAGUGACUGAUCUGUACCUCUUUUGCAGGGUGUCUUUCCCUCUUGCUUCUCCAUCCUUCGGAUGGAGUUAUGGUCCUUCUCUAGCCUCUGGGCCCAGCCAUAUGGGCCCAGAUUUCCUCUCCUUCCUCUGGGCCAGGUGUACAUGUGAGCACGCCUCUUACCUUUGCUGCUCACGCCAUCCCCUGCAGCAAAUCCCCUCUCCCCAUCCUUCCCUACCCCUGAAGCACCUGCACCAUCGCCAUGCACCACACGCUCCUUGAGGCUUUCCCUUUCUCCUCUCUCAUUUUUUAGCUGCUGGUAAAUGCUAAAUGCAGGCUGUCCUGCUCCUUGUCUUCUGCGCUUCUGGGAGACGAAUUUCUUUAGGAUAAAACCCUAUACAGAGCAAGUGGAAAGCCUUUCUAGAUGGGAUGCUGCUGCUCCAGUGUCCUGGAUGCCUUCCUGCACCCUGGGAUUUCACCAGCACUGAUUAGCUCAAGCAUGGCAAGGUUGGGGGGCAGCAUGUGUCAUUGGUGAUGGAGUGGAGCAGCUUCUGGGCAUCUGUCCCAGUUCAGUGUGCACUGCUUGGCUUAGGCAGCGGUGGGAUCAGAACACUGAGCUUCCCAGCAGUGUUCUGACAGGCAGUGGUGAUGUGUGCUGCUGAGGCACAGCCCCUGCUUUAGAGCCGUCUGUUACCAAUAAAUGUGGCUCUUACAUCAUGCAAGGGAUGCGCAGGGAGCUGCAGAUGAGCUUAAUGAAUGAAGAAAAUAAGAAACAUGAUUUAGUACCUUAUUCCAGAUGGACAUGGAGUGUGCUUCCAUGUGCUACAGGCACAGAGUUGCCCACUGGCACUACCACAGUGCCAUCCUCAGAUCCACAGCCUCAUUGCGCUCCUCUUCCCCUGGGCCACCCCACAGCUCCCUGCUCUACUUCUUCAGCUCUGGAUUUCAAGUGCUACAACCCACAAAGGAGGUCCCUUUCUGUGGCUUCAGCUUUUCUUGCUGGCUACAUUCUCACCCUAUUGAAACUAGUCUCCAUCAUGCACCCUGAUCCGUGAACUAGGAGCAGCAUCCUCUUAGCUGUGCACCUCCACAGAUGUCCUCACUGUCUCUCUGCUGCCAACCCCCCUCUCUCAUUUGCAUGGUUACCUUUUUCUCUCUCUUGUUGUCAUCAGCAGCUCUAGGUCUUCACAAUUCACAUGUUCAGAAUCUGUCCAUCCCAAUUAACCACUGGGAGGAGCUGCAUUUGCCAAGCUCAGAGUCAGAACUUCUGUUGGUGCUGUAGCAAGAGCAGUUUGAGCCCGGCAAGGCUCCUCCUACCUGUAGCUGUUAGUAUCUUGUUAAGCAAGGCCAGCCCUGGAAUGGGUUUCCCUUCUGACAGGGUGUGUGAUAUAUACCCAAGGCAUGCACAUGUUUAUAUCCAUCACUCACUCAUCCCUGGCAAGGUCCUAUUUGCUGGUGUUCACUCCAUGCAGUGGGGUUUCUGUAGUCACCUGCCAGCAAGUCAGGGAGACAGAUUUGCAGCAAACCUCUCUGAAGAGCUGACCAGUUGGCGCUGAUGCUUCUGACAGACUUUCUGCUGCGCUGCUGAUCAAGGUCCAUGAGCUGUGAGAGCAGGAUGAAAUUGUUCCUGCUGCUCUCUGCACCCCUGUCCCUUCCGUGCUGGGGGUGUCAGGCAGGGCUGGACUGAGCAGACUGGCUGCUUGCCCACACCACUUUUUCUGCUGGUGUGCAGAUGAGCAAAGCUGCAGCCCAGCCUGUGUCCCAGCUGGUCUUGUGGCACCUCUGGAAAUGCUGAUGUUUCCAAAAGUUCUGCCAGCUCUUAGUAACCUCCCAGGAAAUGGACAUGCAAUCAGAUAUACUGGUGCCCUGUUUUUGAGGUUUGCUGAUGGACACUUUUUCUCUCCAGCUCAUAAACUUUCAGCCUGACAACUGCAUUCCCAGUUAAAGGUGACUGAGAAAGCUGUGAUUCCCAGCCUUCCAUGGGUGCAGGUAGUGCCUGGGGCAGCAUGGAGCUGUGGGUGGUCAUCCAGGUUGGGCUCUCACCUUUCCACCAUCAGCAGUCAUGCCUGGGGAAGAGAGCUGAGCCCCAGCCAAGGUGUACUUGGGUCUGCAUCCUUGGGCUGUAUACCUGGACAGCCCAGGAGCAAGGUGGGGAUAGGCUCCUCCUUGACAGGGAAUGCCACUGUUGAUUUUCUUGUAGCAGUAGGUUUUUUGAGCAAACCACAAGGCUGUGAUGUCCCCAUGUCGCGUGUGUCCCCCCGUGUGUCGUAGCAUCCAUUUGGCCCAUCCUUCAGCUUGGUGGUUGUGAAAUGAAUCCAUCUGUUCUAAGAUGUUCUCAGGAGUUCUUGUUUGUAUUAAGCUCACCCCUAGGCUUAGCAGAAAUCGCAGUCCCCAUCCUCCCUGCUCCCCUCCCCGCAGACAAGCCCUCUCUCUCACGAGCACUUCCACCUUCUCCCCAAAGGGCAGCAGAGGGCAGCUGGCGGUUUUGAUUCAGGGCACGUUGGCAGCUUUGGGGCAGCCGAAGGAGCUGGGAUGCAGCUGGCCAGCAUUUGUGACAUGGGUCUGGAGGCCAGGCGGUCCCACGGGCUGUAUUGCUAGCCAAUGUUUUCUAAGUCUGUUUGUAAGAGUACCUAAUUUUAAAAUGAAAUGUGAAUAUAUAUUAUGUGUAGGUGCCAUGUAAGAUAGUGUUGUGCUAGGCAGCAGGAUGCUAACCUACUUUUUAAGCUUUUUGGGGGCAGGAAAAAGCAUUUUUCUCUCACUUCAUGCUCACAGAUCUAAUAUUGUAAAUAGGUUUUAUAAUAUUUAUUUCAUGGGCUUUCCACAGGUUCUCGUUCUGACUGGUGUGUCGGUGGGUGGGGCUGUAUUGCCCAUUCUGCCACAACCCAAGGGCUGGCGAUGGCGUGGGGGGAUGGGGCGGGGUGGGGGGUGCUGGUGGUGGUGUUCAGUUUGGGUUUGUGUCACGUCAGAGCUGAAGCAUUAACUCUUCAUCUCGUUUUGAUGAUGUCAGACCUGGUCGUUGGCCACGGUCCUCAGGGAGGCUGUGAGCUCCCAUGGCCGGCCAGGAUGGCUGUUCCCCAGGACAGGGGGCACUGCAAGCAAUAAGAUUUGUAGUAAUAAUGUCUGCUUUGAUGGCAGGGGCUCUCGGGGCUCAGGGCCAGGUGGGAAUAACCCUGCUCCCGGCAGGGGCUCAGUCCAGCAUGGCUUUGGGGUGGGUCUCUUGACCUGGAGGUACUCAGAGGAGUGUCCCCAGGGAUGCAGAAAGUGGGAGAUGCUGUUACCCCAUGGAACCCCCCCCAGAACCACUGGGGUAGGGUAGGUAGUUGCUGGUAGCAAACUCCCACUAGUGAAUUACUGCCUUUGUGGGUACAGGUGACCCAUGGGAGCACACUGCUGUCGCUGCUAGUCCUAGGGCCGGCUCCAGAAGGUCAUUUGCUCAUUUGUUAAUCAUUCUGCAAUUUUAAUUCUCCUUCUAGGAGGUUUGAGGUCAUUUGGUAAUUUUUGCUUAAGUGGGUUUAGGUUUUUAUUUUUCUUUGUUAACCCCUUUUUGCCUGGAAGUGUGGCUGGCUCUGACCUUCCAGUCCAGCUGUCUGUGUGGGGCACUGUCAGCAGGAUCUGGUUUUAUGAUGAUGGGUCUCUGACUUUGGAGGAUGGAGUGAGGGGUGCUGCUGGGUUCCAGCCCUGCAGGACCCUUCACCAGUCCCACGCUUCCUUCACCCUUGGAACAGGUGUGUAAAAAAAGAAAAACAAAAAAAAAAAA
Molecule: long non-coding RNA, 4698 nt
Filed under: Taeniopygia guttata (zebra finch)
Lineage: Eukaryota; Metazoa; Chordata; Aves; Passeriformes; Estrildidae
Description: lncRNA (ENSTGUG00000021014.1)
Source: RNAcentral